GGGGCUUUCUAGGUGCUCCCUGCUGAGAGCUGGUGGACCCAACAGCAGGCUGGAUUUUACUGUUGCUUCAUCCCACCUGGAAUCCAGAGCGGCAGAGUUCUCAUGGGCUCAGGACGAAGGGCAGGGACCAUUCCAUGGCCUCUCAUGCUCAUGGGGGCAUCUCGGCUGCUGUUCUGGGGCCAGAGCCUCAACCAAGGUGUAGGCAGGACUCCGUUCCUCUGGAGGCUCCAGGACUGUCCCUCUGGCCCCUCCCGGCUCCUGGCAGCUGAGGUGGCCUUGGUGUUCCCUGGCCUGUAGACGCACCCCUCCUCCCCCACCCACGGGACACGCGGCGACUCUCCAUGCCUUCCCCGUGUGUCUGCUUCCUCCCUUCGUAAGACCCCGCUCCUGGACUCAGGGCCCACUUUCAUCCAGGAGGACCUCAUCUGCACGGAUGAGAUCUGCAACACACUUUUCCAGGAUGCGGACGAGGACUCGAAAUCCCCAGCACACCGGAGGAAACAAUCCGCGGGCCUGCCCCAUGUGUCUGUUCCUGCGAGGCUCUGCUGAGAGACGGGAAGGAAGGAGAGGGCAGGACACGGCCAGCCUGACCGCUGGGGGGCCUGCCUCCCUCCGGCUCCUCCGGCUUUCCCCCUCGCCCCAUUGUGCAAGGGGAGCACCCUGCAGCCACGAGCGACUCCCAACCUGUCUUCCCCGUUUUCUCCUUGAAAACUCGCGAGAAACAUUUUUUAAUUCCGCUAGUUAUUUCCUGAAUCCGUUCUUGCAAAAAAUUCAAAGAGAGCUGAUAAAAACCACUGGCUCUGG
Molecule: long non-coding RNA, 804 nt
Organism: Neogale vison (American mink)
Lineage: Eukaryota; Metazoa; Chordata; Mammalia; Carnivora; Mustelidae
Exons: 2
Source: RefSeq, a predicted model, not a curated record